RNAcentral lists this long non-coding RNA (1130 nucleotides) under Bos grunniens (domestic yak). RNAcentral describes it as "lncRNA (ENSBGRG00000010588.1)". The record is from RNAcentral. Lineage: Eukaryota; Metazoa; Chordata; Mammalia; Artiodactyla; Bovidae.
CAAAUACCUUGUGGGAAUUUGCUGGGGCUGGGAGGUGGGAACCUGAGAAACAAAAGGAUGAUUUACAGUCGUUCAAAGGCAUCAUUCUAACCAGAAAAUUUAAUUUACAGACUUUCGGUUCUUUCAUUUCCAUUUUUGAAAGAGAAAAAAGAAAAUCAAUUGAGGCACACUGAGUCCCUCUUGCUUAGAGGUUAGUUCAAGGCAUCUUCAUCUUCAGAAAGCCUUCUUGGCAUUAAGCAAUAAACAGGCCAAGCAGAUAAAACCACCCUGUGUUUAAAAAGCUGGUCUGUCUCCGAGGCAGAAUUUUUAUAGAUAAAACAACGGAAUGUGACUCAGAGAAGUCAUCUUGUAAAAAUGGUCCCACGUCGACACAGAGCUCCUCACUCAGGAAGUGAACCCUAUAAGAGAUAGGAAGGUUUGGGGGGAUUUAGAUAAUUCUUGACUUUUGGCUUCAAAAGACUACCUUAAAGCCCUGUGUCGCCUAGAUGCAUUUUUAUGUUGCAAAUAUUUCCUCCACACCUCUGCUGUCUCAUCACUUGAAAUGCCCCCUCUCUCUCUCAGAUCAUCAAAAUGACCCAAUGGAUCCUGCAGAAAAAGGAAUGUCUGGUGGAUGCUUUACCACUGAGCCACUGGGGAAACCCCUCCCAGAGGGACAGGGUUCCCAAAAGCUGAAAACCCAGGAUUUGAUAGAACCAAUGCAGAACCGGAACAUGUGUUUCCCUGGCCAAAGACCUCGAACUACGUCGGGGAGCCACAUUCUAACCACUGUGUUUUCAUCUGGAGGUCUCAGAAGUCCCUUUGGUUCCUGCAGGAUCCAGAAUGCAGAAGGGAAGAAACAGGCUGAAACGUAGUAGCUGCUCACAGGGCACAGCGUGCUGCCUGCUCAACACCCCUAUUAAAACCCAGGAUCCAUGGAAGGUUGUUGCUGUCUCCGUAACAACAAGGACCAGAGAGACAAGAAACAAAAGCUAUGAUUUCUCCCUCUGAGGAAGUUUCCCCCUUUUUAAUUGUACAUGUGCAAGUGAAAUUUCAAAUGUGCUUAUUUGUUCUUUUCUAAGGAAUACAUGUUGGUUUCCCCCACAUCAGUGAAGUCCAGAUGAGUUGUUCUCAGCCUGGGGUGAAUAUUCUGC